RNAcentral lists this ribosomal RNA (168 nucleotides) under uncultured Enterobacter sp. RNAcentral describes it as "partial 16S ribosomal RNA". It matches the Rfam family "Bacterial small subunit ribosomal RNA", at positions 1203 to 1370 of the family's 1533-position model. Lineage: Bacteria; Pseudomonadati; Pseudomonadota; Gammaproteobacteria; Enterobacterales; Enterobacteriaceae. The record is from RNAcentral.
UACGAGUAGGGCUACACACGUGCUACAAUGGCGCAUACAAAGAGAAGCGACCUCGCGAGAGCAAGCGGACCUCAUAAAGUGCGUCGUAGUCCGGAUUGGAGUCUGCAACUCGACUCCAUGAAGUCGGAAUCGCUAGUAAUCGUAGAUCAGAAUGCUACGGUGAAUACG